Oncorhynchus tshawytscha (Chinook salmon) is the source of this 379-nucleotide long non-coding RNA. The record is from Ensembl. NCBI's taxonomy places the organism in Eukaryota, Metazoa, Chordata, Actinopteri, Salmoniformes, Salmonidae.
GGGGUACCAGUACAGAGUCAAUGUGGAGGCUAUAUAGAGGGAGUACCGGUACAGAGUCAAUGUGGAGGCUAUAUACAGGAGGAACCGGUACAGAGUCAAUGUGGAGGCUAUAUACAGGGGGUACCGGUACAGAGUCAAUGUGGAGGCUAUUUACAGGGGGUACCGGUACAGAGUCAAUGUGGAGGCUAUAUACAUGGGGUACCGGUACAGAGUCAAUGUGGAGGCUAUAUACAGGGGGUACUGGUACAGAGUCAAUGUGGAGGCUAUAUACAGGGGGUACCGGUACAGAGUCAAUGUGGAGGCUAUAUACAGGAGGUACCGGUACAGAGUCAAUGUGGAGGCUAUAUACAGGGGGUACCGGUACAGAGUCAAUGUGGAG